This 305-nucleotide ribosomal RNA is filed under the name uncultured bacterium. RNAcentral describes it as "bacterial SSU rRNA". It matches the Rfam family "Bacterial small subunit ribosomal RNA", at positions 334 to 637 of the family's 1533-position model. The record is from RNAcentral.
UCCGUCCACGGGAGGCAGCAGUGAGGAAUAUUGGUCAAUGGCCGAGAGGCUGAACCAGCCAAGUCGCGUGAGGGAUGACGGCCCUACGGGUUGUAAACCUCUUUUGUCGGGGAGCAAAGAGAGUCACGUGUGACUCAUUGAGAGUACCCGAAGAAAAAGCAUCGGCUAACUCCGUGCCAGCAGCCGCGGUAAUACGGAGGAUGCGAGCGUUAUCCGGAUUUAUUGGGUUUAAAGGGUGCGCAGGCGGAGGUGCAAGUCAGCGGUCAAAUUGCGGGGCUCAACCCCGUACUGCCGUUGAAACUGCC